CAAGUCGAACGAGAAAGUGGAGCAAUCCAUGAGUAAAGUGGCGCACGGGUGAGUAACACGUGACUAACCUACCCUUGAGUGGGGGAUAACUGAGGGAAACCUUAGCUAAUACCGCAUAAUACCUACGGGUCAAAGGAGUAAUUCGCUUAAGGAGGGGGUCGCGGCCGAUUAGUUAGUUGGCAGGGUAAUGGCCUACCAAGACGAUGAUCGGUAUCCGGCCUGAGAGGGUGCACGGACACACUGGAACUGAAACACGGUCCAGACUCCUACGGGAGGCAGCAGUGGGGAAUUUUGCGCAAUGGGGGAAACCCUGACGCAGCAACGCCGCGUGGAGGAUGAAGUCCUUCGGGACGUAAACUCCUUUCGAUCGGGACGAUUAUGACGGUACCGGAAGAAGAAGCCCCGGCUAACUUCGUGCCAGCAGCCGCGGUAAUACGAGGGGGGCGAGCGUUGUUCGGAAUUAUUGGGCGUAAAGGGUGCGUAGGCGGUUUGGUAAGUCUUAUGUGAAAUCUACAGGCUCAACUUGUAGUCUGCAUGAGAAACUGCCGGGCUUGAGUGUGGAGAGGUGAGUGGAAUUCCUGGUGUAGCGGUGAAAUGCGUAGAUAUCAGGAGGAACACCUGUGGCGAAAGCGGCUCACUGGACCAUAACUGACGCUGAUGCACGAAAGCUAGGGGAGCAAACAGGAUUAGAUACCCUGGUAGUCCUAGCCCUAAACGAUGACUGCUUGGUGUGACGGGUACCCAAUCCC
Molecule: ribosomal RNA, 749 nt
Filed under: uncultured Acidobacteriaceae bacterium
Lineage: Bacteria; Pseudomonadati; Acidobacteriota; Terriglobia; Terriglobales; Acidobacteriaceae
Description: bacterial SSU rRNA
Rfam family: Bacterial small subunit ribosomal RNA
Source: RNAcentral